UGUCUUUUAGAAAUUUAAUUUAAAGUCUAGCCUGCCCACUGAAUUUUUUUAAAUGGCCGCAGUAUCCUAACUGUGCAAAGGUAGCAUAAUCAUUAGUCUUUUAAUUGAAGGCUGGAAUGAAUGGUUGGAUGAAAUAUUAACUGUUUCAUAAAAAUUUAUAAUAGAAUUUUAUUUUUUAGUCAAAAAGCUAAAAUAUUCUUAAAAGACGAGAAGACCCUAUAAAUCUUUAUAUUUAGAAAAUUACAAUUAUUUAGAUAACUUUAAUUUUACUUUUUUUAAAUAUUUUAUUGGGGUGAUAUUAAAAUUUAAUAAACUUUUAAUUUAUUUUAAACAUAAAUUAAUGAAUUAUUGAUCCAUAAAUUAUGAUUAAAAAAUUAAGUUACUUUAGGGAUAACAGCGUAAUUUUUUUAGAGAGUUCAUAUUGAUAAAAAAGAUUGCGACCUCGAUGUUGGAUUAAGAUACAGUUUUAGGUGCAGCAGCUUAAACUUAAAGUCUGUUCGACUUUUAAAUUCUUACAUGAUCUGAG
Molecule: ribosomal RNA, 526 nt
Filed under: Myriophora pallida
Lineage: Eukaryota; Metazoa; Arthropoda; Insecta; Diptera; Phoridae
Description: partial 16S ribosomal RNA
Rfam family: Bacterial large subunit ribosomal RNA (bases 390-526)
Source: RNAcentral